Myotis brandtii (Brandt's bat) is the source of this 2605-nucleotide long non-coding RNA. RefSeq lists it as uncharacterized. Lineage: Eukaryota; Metazoa; Chordata; Mammalia; Chiroptera; Vespertilionidae. The record is from RefSeq and is a predicted model, not a curated record. The transcript has 5 exons.
AUCCUCUUUAAUAAUGAUUAACUUGGGGCCAAUUUUGUCUCAUUUUCUGCCCUCCAAUUAUUAUCAAUUAACCUCAUAUAAUUUCAUCCAUACAUAUAUUUUAGAAUCUCUUUUUUGAUAUAUAUAAUGAUAUAUAUAUAUAUAUCAUUACCUCACCUAAAAUUAACAAUGCUUUCUUACAUAAUCAAAUAUUCAGUUAGUGUUCACAUUUCUAAUUGUUUCACAAAUGUUAAAAGCAGCUUAUACUUAUUUUUGCUCUGAAUUUGACUUUAAGUAAAGUCUAUGCAUUAUAAUUGAUUGAUAUUUCUUUUAUUUGUUUUAACCUUAUGGAUUUCUUUCUCUUUUCUUCUCUCUACUUUCAAUAUAUUUGUUGGAGAAACCAGCUGGAAUACUGAAAAAGAAAAAUCUUCCUCAAAAUAAUGUUUGGUUACCCAUUGGCAAAGGAGAUCAAAGAGAAAAGAAGAUAAAAGCUUGGUUCUCUUUAAUCAUUCGUGUGUUGUUGUUUUUUAAAUAGUGAGUUGAUGCAAAGCAACCUACAAUGGUAGAAACAACAGAAUUCAAGGGAAUGUUUCCAAAUAAAAGAUUGCACUUUGCAGGCAUACCAAGUCUGUUUUUUAAGGUAACCAUGUUUAGUCCACGUGUCUGUGUGAUAUCUGCAUGGAACAGGUUGGAGACACUGAGAAACGAUGCUCAGCCAACAAGGUCCAUUUUAUCCACCAAAACACAGACCGUGGACCCUGCCUCGGCACAAGAGAAGCUGAUUUUAUCUGAGCUCCUGGCAUGUGUCCAACAGAGGGAGGCUUCUUCAGCCCUGGAGCCAUCCCAGAACAGAACAGGCUCCUUCUCGGGAGCGGGUAGCACCCCAGCAACUCCAGUAUGAGAAUGUAUUUCUGCAAAAUCCCAAAAUGACAACAUUGCACAAUUACAGCAAUGGGAUAUUUGAACUGAUCCUUGAAACAUCAGUGUUUCCAAUAAAGAAAGUGUGAUGUUAAGUGAACCAGCAUUUGAAAGGAGCACUUCAGGUAAAGGGAAGAACAUGGCUGUAUAGCAUCUCGUAUUGUUCAGGUAACGGCAGGUGCCACAAAGAAAACCUCUGGAUGUUCUCUUCAACGAACGCGGGCAAACCAUCCCUCCAGCUCUCUGAAACGGAAGUGUCAGUGCAUAAUAUAUACCCAGAAGCCAUUUUUCAUCAAGGAACAUCUUUUUGUUUUGUUUUUUAACUUGAUGCUUCACUAUGCACAUUAAUAACACAUGGGAAGAAACACACAUUGAAAUAUGUAGGGAAAAUAAGGAACACUGAUGGAUGAGGAACACAAAUUUAUAUAUUGUUUGACUGAUGGAUUGCAAAUUAUAAAGUAAAUGAAGUAAAAUGUUAUCUAUAACUGAGACUGAGUCUGAGUACUUGGAGACACUUGGAAAUGUUUUUAUUUUUGCACCUAUUCAAUAUGUUUGACAUUAUUUCCAAAGCAAAAGUAAAAUCAACAACAGCAAAACAAAAACAAAGACUAAAACAAACGCCUGGAACACUGUCAGGGCUGCAUGGAGCUGUCCUGUCGUUUGAGAAGAUAAAAUCUAGUAGGACACGCUGAGCCAGGGUGGGAAUCAGUGUGAACUGUUAACCACUCUUUCCAUAGAGGCUAAGGAACAGGCUGAAGGCCUCUGGUGAUGCCCACCAUCAAAUGCCCACAGCCAAAAGCUGAAGGGAAGUGAGACAUAACUUUUAAACAUGGUCUUGAUUCUGUAAGUUCCAUCAUUAUCUUUAUUGUGGGGAACUCAUUCACAAAAAGGUUCUGCCUGGAGAACACACAGGGUGGAGUCCCAGACUAGAACCCAGGACAUCGAUGUGCUCACAGAGAGAGACCUUGGGCAUUGUAGAUGCAGAGGCCCGGGACCUUCUCGGAAACCUCAGCAGCCAGCGAGGCCACAUUUAGAAGAAAUCAUAAUGAUCUCUCUGGAAUCUAUGGAAUUUGAGUGGUGAUGCUCCUGCAUCUCACUCUCACUAGGGAGUCAGGAGGAUUAAUUAGCAGUUUCCUGCAAAGUACUGUGUGUUCUCUUUCUCAGGAGGCAGAUUAGUAACUAAUUCCCAUAAUGUCUCCUGAAGGGAAGGUCAUAGUAAAGACCGAAAUCUUGCCUUGGAGAAUCGCUAAACAGGCACACACUGGAUUUGCUCAUCUGAGUGCAAGUGGAAAACUGAUCAUAACAUUAUACAUCAAAACCUGGAUUAUAUUCGUACCCAAUAAUUACAUUGCUAGUAGUAUAAUUUAAGGAAUAAAAAAUAGCUCUGUGAACAAAAUUGCACUUUCUAGUUUUUGUCAGUGGUAAAAAUAAUGGCAGCAAACCUCUCUGUCCAACACCAGGAAGAUGGGAAAAUACAUUAAUGUGUAUCUAGUUAAGGAGUAAUGUAUAGUUAUUACAGUUGUAUUUUUAAAGGGCUUAAAAUAACCAUUAAUUGUUGCCAGUGGAAACUGUAUUCUUUCAUGUGAUUGAAAGGCAAGCAUUCCAAGGACCCAAUAUGGAUUUCAAGUUAUAAAGUAAAUGGCUCAUAAUGCUUAUCCUCCUAUAUAAUAAAGAGGUAAUAUGCAAAUUGACCAUCACUCCAACACAC